Molecule: ribosomal RNA, 460 nt
Filed under: uncultured bacterium
Lineage: Bacteria
Description: partial 16S ribosomal RNA
Rfam family: Bacterial small subunit ribosomal RNA
Source: RNAcentral
CCUACGGGAGGCAGCAGUGAGGAAUAUUGGUCAAUGGACGCAAGUCUGAACCAGCCAUGCCGCGUGCAGGAAGACGGCCCUAUGAGUUGUAAACUGCUUUUGUACGAGGGUAAACGCAGAUACGCGUAUCUGUCUGAAAGUAUCGUACGAAUAAGGAUCGGCUAACUCCGUGCCAGCAGCCGCGGUAAUACGGAGGAUUCAAGCGUUAUCCGGAUUUAUUGGGUUUAAAGGGUGCGUAGGCGGUCUGAUAAGUUAGGGGUGAAAUCCCGAGGCUCAACUUCGGAAUUGCCUCUGAUACUGUUCGGCUAGAGAGUAGUUGCGGUAGGCGGAAUGUGUGGUGUAGCGGUGAAAUGCUUAGAGAUCAUACAGAACACCGAUUGCGAAGGCAGCUUACCAGGCUACUUCUGACGUUGAGGCACGAAAGCGUGGGGAGCGAACAGGAUUAGAUACCCCUGUAGUC